Molecule: long non-coding RNA, 1795 nt
Organism: Triticum aestivum (bread wheat)
Lineage: Eukaryota; Viridiplantae; Streptophyta; Magnoliopsida; Poales; Poaceae
Exons: 2
Source: RefSeq, a predicted model, not a curated record
UCCAUUCCUCCCUGCCGCCAUUACCUCCACCCGGUCUCCCUCUCCCUCGGGAUCUUCCCAGAUCUACCUCAUAGCCAGCCGACCAGCCUCCUUCCUCCUAGGAUCAGCCGCAGCCGCCACCCAUCAAAUCCAUCCACCCAUUUGCCAGAUCCACCUCGUUUUGCCCAUCCACCCAACUAGCAGCCUCCACCUCUCCUCCUGAUUCUCCUCCAUCGAUCCAACCAGUGAGGCUGCCGGUAGCAGCAGCUGCACCCUCGCGCUCCCAUUCAUCCUCCUCCGGACCUCCCUUGACGCCGAGCACUAGCAGGAACUGCUCGUCGAGCCCCUUGUUUUCCUUUCUCUUCCUUCCCCUGUUUCUGCUCUUCUCUGAGCGUGUUUUCUCCCUCUCUCUCAUGCACAUGAGACCUUUAGGAGCCAGGGAAGCCAUGGCCUGACCUCGACCCCACCGCUGCCGCCUCUCACCCGCGCAACCUCGUCGCAAAACGGAGCCCCGGCGACCCUCCGAUGAGCCACCGCCCGGAUCCACCCGGUGCCAUCUUCUUUUCCUUCCGGAGCUCCUCCCGUAUGUCUCAUCCCUCUCCUUUGUUCUCUGUAACAGCUCCAUGGCCGCCGGAUGCUCAAGCGGCCACCGGGAACCGCUCCUUCGCCAUGCGUACCUCGCCACCAACCGAAGCUCCGACGGGCUCUUGCUGGACCUUGACCAGGACCUCGCCGUCGAUGCCCCAUUCUUCUCUUCUCUCAUCCCGCUUGCCUUUCAGUGAGCUUCUCUGACCCUGCUGCGACGCCGUUUACAGGUCGACAUCGCCGCCUUGGAUCUGCCCCAACCUUCGCCAUUCCCGCAGCAGACCCGGGACCCAUGGACCCGCAUCUCCACUGGCCACUUCGACGGAGUCCCCAUUGCCGGCCCCUGCUUCCACUGCAUCGGGAAGCUGCAGUUCGGGCAGAGAACGACGCCUCUGUCUCGAGUCAUUCGGUCGCUCGCCUGCGCCUGAACCACGCCCCCCUUCGCCCGUUCAUGGGCCUAGCAGCCCCGCUUCAGCCUAGCUCCUCUUCCGCCCGAGCUGCCCGGCCUCUCCACCGACCUAGGCUUGGCCCAUGAGAACUAAAUAAUCGACGUCAAUAUGCAACUUGAUGCGGAGCAUCCCAGGGCCAUCCCCAUGGACCCAAGUAAAUCUCCUUCAACACCUCUUGGACCCAUGACACAAGCAUGUGCAAGAGCUCUUGAAACCGAGGUGACAUCUCUCCUCUCACAUUUCCACUUUGAUGCACACGAGACAUGGCUACUACCUCAUACGGAUACUUUGUGCAUGCUCAGGUACCAUGGAGAAGCUAAGGAGCAAGGAGAAGAAGAAGAGGAAGAUGGACGUGAAGACGAAGACGAAGAAGAAGAAUCACUCCAAGUUCCCAGGCUCCGGACGACCGACGGACACCGGACGUCCAACGACCUCCAGGCCCCGGACAUCCGGCCCCCUCCGGACGACCGAUGCUCCCACACCCGAGACGAAACCUACGGAUUUCCAGAGCCCCUCGGACGAACGAUGACGCCUGGACGUUCGACCCCGACCGGACGUCCGACCGAAAACCACCCGAGCCGAAACUAUGGACGUCCGAUAGGCACCAGAUGUCCGGACCCUCGCGAGCCUCCGGACGACCGGUGACCCCCGGACAUCCGACGCAUGUGUGCUGAUUCGUGUUGGGCGGCAGCCCAUGUACCCCUUCACCCCCUCUUUUGCAUUAAGACUAUAUAUACUCCACCUAUUCCUUCUUUCUAGGGUUAGCAAAGGAUUAGCUCAUA